CAGGUGGGGGGGCGGGGGUGGAAUUGCUGUGUUUACAGCAACUCUGUCCAAUCCUUUCAGGAACGUGUCUUGCUUUUCUAUUCUGAAUUAUCUAGCAUUAAAAAACCUCCUCUUUUUACAUCGAAACCUCUCAUUCAGUUGGCAUGCCUUUGGCUGUAGCGAGAGAGGUGAUGAUCCAGCCUUAUCCUGUUCUCUCCACAGUGCUCCACGGCGGCUGCCAGUGAGCCCUGUCCCUCUCCUGCAGAUCUGAGAAGUGCUCCAUUGUCACCUCAAUUCUUGAGCUUAUCUGGGUAUCUCCAGCGCACCCUGUUUAUGUCUUCUUCUGUGCCCGGGGCUACUCUGAAAGUUGUCCUGCACCUGAGUGUCCGGCGGCCCUGCCUGAGACACCCCCUCCUUGUGGAGCAGCUUAACAAUUGCAUCAGCUUUCUCCUGUGCUGAUUCUUCAUGAGAACGUUGCCAAGGCGCUGUGGAGACACCGUUUCUCUAGUUGUGCAGCUGCAAGGUCACAGACAGAGAAACUCAAGUCGUAAAACAUGUUUUUCCUUCAAAAGGAAGAAAUGAUGUAAGGAAUGUCUCAAUUCAUUGAAUCACUGUCUUUGUUUCUCGCUUCUGUAACAUGCUUCCCCCUGCACCGAUCUCCCCCCACCCCGCGAAAUGCUUAAAAGGUAACUUAACUCUUUGUUCAGAGCUCAGUCCUUUGGAUGUUAACCCGACUGGGCUGGUGCACCUAAAUAAUAAAUAUCCUCCUCAACCC
Long non-coding RNA from Homo sapiens (human), 754 nucleotides. Lineage: Eukaryota; Metazoa; Chordata; Mammalia; Primates; Hominidae. The record is from Ensembl.